This 478-nucleotide ribosomal RNA is filed under the name uncultured bacterium. Its description in RNAcentral is "SSU rRNA". It matches the Rfam family "Bacterial small subunit ribosomal RNA", at positions 26 to 521 of the family's 1533-position model. The record is from RNAcentral.
AGGAUGAACGCUGGCGGCGUGCUUAACACAUGCAAGUCGAACGAUGAAGCGGAGCUUGCUCUGUGGAUUAGUGGCGAACGGGUGAGUAACACGUGAGUAACCUGCCCUUGACUCUGGGAUAAGCACUGGAAACGGUGUCUAAUACCGGAUACGAGCUUCAGCCGCAUGGCUAGGAGUUGGAAAGAAUUUCGGUCAAGGAUGGACUCGCGGCCUAUCAGGUAGUUGGUGAGGUAAUGGCCCACCAAGCCUACGACGGGUAGCCGGCCUGAGAGGGUGACCGGCCACACUGGGACUGAGACACGGCCCAGACUCCUACGGGAGGCAGCAGUGGGGAAUAUUGCACAAUGGGCGCAAGCCUGAUGCAGCAACGCCGCGUGAGGGACGACGGCCUUCGGGUUGUAACCUCUUUAGUAGGGAAGAAGCGAAAGUGACGGUACUGCAGAAAAGCACCGGCUAACUACGCGCCAGCAGCCGCGGU